AUGGCAACCUUCAAGAUGAAUCUUGGUCCCUUGUUUUUGGCGGCUCUCAUGGUCCUGGCUACUAUUGUGUCCCCAUGCCAUGCGAACAAUGAGAUACAUGCAGAUGCAGUACGAGUACCUGCAAGUUGCUAUCCUAUGAAGUUUCCUAAAUGCACUGAAAAGGCAUGCUACAAGUAUUGCAUAAACCCUGGAGGCCACUGCAAAGAUGUUGAUUAUUGUUGUUGCCCUAUCGACUAA
Molecule: ribosomal RNA, 237 nt
Filed under: Triticum aestivum (bread wheat)
Lineage: Eukaryota; Viridiplantae; Streptophyta; Magnoliopsida; Poales; Poaceae
Description: partial small subunit ribosomal RNA
Source: RNAcentral